RNAcentral lists this transfer RNA (91 nucleotides) under Erinaceus europaeus (western European hedgehog). It matches the Rfam family "tRNA". Rfam says of the family: Transfer RNA (tRNA) molecules are approximately 80 nucleotides in length. Their secondary structure includes four short double-helical elements and three loops (D, anti-codon, and T loops). Lineage: Eukaryota; Metazoa; Chordata; Mammalia; Eulipotyphla; Erinaceidae. The record is from Rfam by way of RNAcentral.
CCUUCGAUAGCUCAGCUGGUAGAGCGGAGGACUGUAGUGUGCUCUCACUGGAGGGAUCCUUAGGUCGCUGGUUCGAUUCCGGCUCGGAGGA